Molecule: long non-coding RNA, 216 nt
Filed under: Mytilus galloprovincialis (Mediterranean mussel)
Lineage: Eukaryota; Metazoa; Mollusca; Bivalvia; Mytilida; Mytilidae
Source: RNAcentral
AAUUUCUCAAAAUGUUUGCACGACAGAACUACAUGUACAUAGUAUUUGUCCUGAGUUUUUGCAAUUAUUUUGUUUGGCGUAAAAUUUGAUUUUGCACUCAGACCACAUUUGGAGAAGUCUGGAUCAUCACACUUUUAGGUCUUUCAUUACCUUUACUGAUAAAAUACUUAACGUUAUGCAACAUAAGGUUUCGCAAUAAGCACACACAUCUCACAU